UAUGGCAAAUGUGAGAUGCAGUGUAUGGAAUGUCAAAUUUCUAGUAUGAGAAAUUAACGAUUUAAGUCCUUCUUAAAUGAGGCCAUUUACCCAUAGAGGGUGCCAGGCCCGUAUAACGUUAAUGAUUACUAGAUGGCAUUUCCAAAGAGUCGUGUUGCUUGAUAGUGCAGCACUAAGUGGGUGGUAAACUCCAUCUAAAACUAAAUAUAACCAUGAGACCGAUAGUAAACAAGUACCGUGAGGGAAAGUUGAAAAGAACUCUGAAUAGAGAGUUAAAUAGUACGUGAAACUGCUUAGAGGUUAAGCCCGAUGAACCUGAAUAUCCAUUAUAGAAAAUUCAUCAUUAUGAUUUUAAUAUUUAUAAUAUUAUAAUAAUGGUGUGCAUUUUUUCUAUAACGGACAUUGUAAUCUAUUAACAUAAAUAUAUUUAUCAUAAGAUCAAGGAUGCGUAAGUUUAUUCAAAUUAUUUUGCUUGCAAUUUAACAUAGAAUAAAUGCUCUUGAUUUGAUAAAGUGUUGAUAGAUUUAUUGUAUAUAGUGCUUAAAUAUUUAUAUUUUAUAAUAGCAUAUUAAUCAUUGAUUUUUAUGUUUAUUAUAUGCACUUAUAUGAUUAACAAUGCGAAAGAUUCAGGAUACCUUCGGGACCCGUCUUGAAACACGGACCAAGGAGUCUAACAUAUUUGCAAGUUAUUGGGUAUCAAAACCUAAUAGCGAAAUUAACAUAACUUUAAUGGGAUUAGUUUUUAGAUUAUUUUUUAGUCUAUUAAUUCAAUCCCGGGGCGUUCUAUAUAGUUAUGUAUAAUAAUAUUUAUAUUAUUUAUACCUCUAACUAGAGCGUACCUUGAGCAUAUAUGCUGUGACCCGAAAGAUGGUGAACUAUACUUGAUCAGGUUGAAGUCAGGGGAAACCCUGAUGGAAGACCGAAACAGUUCUGACGUGCAAAUCGAUUGUCAGAAUUGAGUA
RNAcentral lists this ribosomal RNA (962 nucleotides) under Sarcophaga lomagundica. Its description in RNAcentral is "eukaryotic LSU rRNA". It matches the Rfam family "Eukaryotic large subunit ribosomal RNA", at positions 128 to 917 of the family's 3401-position model. Lineage: Eukaryota; Metazoa; Arthropoda; Insecta; Diptera; Sarcophagidae. The record is from RNAcentral.